GCGUGCCUUUUGCAUAAUGAGUCAGCGAGUUAUUUAACGUAGCGAGGUUAAGCCGUUAGGUGAAGCCGAAGCGAGAGCGAGUCUGAAUAGGGCGCUAAAAGUUGCGUUGAGUAGACCCGAAACCAGGUGAUCUAUCCAUGUCCAGGGUGAAGCGUGAGUAAAGUUGCGUGGAGGCCCGAACCGAUACAGGUUAAAAACUGUUCGGAUGAGGUGUGGAUAGGGGUGAAAGGCCAAACAAACCUGGAGAUAGCUGGUUCUCUCCGAAAUAUAUUUAGGUAUAGCCUCACAUGUUUCUUAUAGGGGGUAGAGCACUGGAUGGGCUAGGGGUCUCACCAGAUUACCAAACCUAACCAAACUCCGAAUACUUAAUAAGUGAUAAUGUGGGAGUCAGCCCGCGAGAGCUAAGUUCUGCGGACGAGAGGGAAACAACCCGGAGCACCAACUAAGGUCCCUAAUUAUAUGCUAAGUGGGAAAGGAUGUGGAAAUGCCCAGACAACCAGGAUGUUGGCUUAGAAGCAGCCAUCAUUUAAAGAAAGCGU
This 539-nucleotide ribosomal RNA is filed under the name uncultured bacterium. RNAcentral's name for it is "bacterial LSU rRNA". It matches the Rfam family "Bacterial large subunit ribosomal RNA", at positions 599 to 1135 of the family's 2925-position model. The record is from RNAcentral.